CGCGCGGAAAACGAGGCGGAACUUCCGGGUCGGGGGCUGGGCGGAUCGCUGCAGGCGAGGGGCGGGGCGAGGAGCGUCCGGGUCUGCAGGGCGAGACAUCCUGGAAAUUUUGAGGAUUUGGGUCACUUUGCGCUCCCCCUCCGGAUGCGAGGAAAACAUGCACUGGGCGCAGUGGAGAAGAGGAAGCUGCCGGGUUCCGCGGACCAGGGGCACUGCUGUGGCGGGGCUCCCCAUCGCCAUGCCCGCAGAGGCGGCCGGCCUUCCCAGCUGGAAGGCCAAACUCCACAUGGCUCGGUUCCAGAGACACAAGGUCAAAACCUACAGUCUGAGACUGGAGGACUAAGGUAUCUCUCCUGGCGCAAUGGUAAAGAAUCCACAGGCAAAUGUGGAAGACAUGGGUUCUGCUCCAGGAUAAUGCCACAUGCCUCGGGGCAACUAAGACCAAGUGACACAACUACUGAGCCUGUGCUGUAACGCCCAAGAGCCCAAACUACUAGGCUCAUGUGCUGAAACUACUGAAGC
This is a long non-coding RNA of Bubalus bubalis (water buffalo), 522 nucleotides long. RefSeq lists it as uncharacterized. The record is from RefSeq and is a predicted model, not a curated record. The transcript has 4 exons. NCBI's taxonomy places the organism in Eukaryota, Metazoa, Chordata, Mammalia, Artiodactyla, Bovidae.